Molecule: ribosomal RNA, 458 nt
Filed under: uncultured bacterium
Lineage: Bacteria
Description: bacterial SSU rRNA
Rfam family: Bacterial small subunit ribosomal RNA
Source: RNAcentral
UACGGAAGGCAGCAGUAGGGAAUCUUCCGCAAUGGACGAAAGUCUGACGGAGCAACGCCGCGUGAACGAUGAAGGCUUUCGGGUCGUAAAGUUCUGUUGUUAGGGAAGAACAAGUACCAGAGUAACUGCUGGUACCUUGACGGUACCUAACCAGAAAGCCACGGCUAACUACGUGCCAGCAGCCGCGGUAAUACGUAGGUGGCAAGCGUUGUCCGGAAUUAUUGGGCGUAAAGCGCGCGCAGGUGGUCCUUUUAAGUCUGAUGUGAAAGCCCACGGCUCAACCGUGGAGGGUCAUUGGAAACUGGGGACUUGAGUGCAGAAGAGGAAAGUGGAAUUCCACGUGUAGCGGUGAAAUGCGUAGAGAUGUGGAGGAACACCAGUGGCGAAGGCGACUUUUCUGGUCUGUAACUGACACUGAGGCGCGAAAGCGUGGGGAGCGGAACAGGGAUUAGGAUACC